RNAcentral lists this microRNA precursor (110 nucleotides) under Sorghum bicolor (sorghum). RNAcentral's name for it is "miR5389 stem-loop (sbi-MIR5389)". Lineage: Eukaryota; Viridiplantae; Streptophyta; Magnoliopsida; Poales; Poaceae. The record is from miRBase by way of RNAcentral.
UGCAGCCACAAACAUAUGCUGCAAGUACUAAUGCUUUGUUCGCUUGAGUUUAUCAGCCGAGUCUGAACACUACUUUAAUUUCAGCCAUGGCUUAUCAGCCAAGUGAACAG